Macaca mulatta (Rhesus monkey) is the source of this 1635-nucleotide non-coding RNA. The record is from RefSeq and is a predicted model, not a curated record. Lineage: Eukaryota; Metazoa; Chordata; Mammalia; Primates; Cercopithecidae.
AAAAAAAAAAAGGGAAAAAGGAAGAUGAGAACAGCUGGGAUCCAUAUUAGAAGAAGAUGAACCUGGACCGAAUUUCUUUCAGAGACACCAACUCCUAUGCUCAUGGGUGUGAAAGGCAAGACUAAAGGUUUGCAGCUGAGAAUAUAAUGUUUCAUGACUUUAGGGUGGAGAGGAAGGUUUUGAGACAGAACACAAAGAGUGCUAAUUGCAAAGGAAAUUAUUGAUAAUUUCAACCAUAUUAAAAUCAAGAAUAAGUCUUAGUAAAAAAGACGCUGUAAAGAGAAUUAAUUAAAAGACAAGCCACAGAAUGGGAGACAGUAUUUUCAACACAUGUAACCAACAAAGAUCCCACGUUCAGAUCAGACAGAACCCUGACAAAUCACUGAGAACAAGGCCACGAAGGAAACGUUUGCAAAACAUUCAAGCAAUACGUUCUAGGGAGAAAAUUCAAAUGACUGAGAAAUACAUAAAAUGGUCUUCAACCUAAUUAUUAAAUUGGAACGAUGAAGACAGAAGCCAUAUGACAUUCAGCAGCUCACCUGCUAGACGGGCAAAAACCGGAGGCACCGACUCCAGGCGCAGCUGCGAUGUGGGGCCGGGAGUCCCUGGAAGCUCCUGGCGGUGAUACACAAGCUCUGAGCUCCUUGGGGCCUUGCACGGCAGUGGAACAAUGGAAUUAACCAUGACGGGGCGACUCGGAUCAUCUCACAGACAUGAAGCUGAGUGAAAGAAGUAAGGUGUAAAAGACGACAGGCCUGUGAAUCUGGUGCAGAGGCAGGUGCGGCCAUGAGGACAACUUCCAUCAAGUCGGCUGUGGCUCCCCACGAAGGUGGUGCUGAGUCCCACAAAGGAACCUGGAAUCCAGCUGAGUGGGCACGUGCUGCCCGUCACGGCCCUGCAUGUCCUGAACAUCUGUUGAGAGGAGGCGGGGGUGUCACCUUAAUUCCAUCCGGGAUGCCACAGUGACACAGUGCAAAGUGCCGUGCCCCUCAUCCCCGCAGAUACGUGGCGUCCCACUGGUCUCCUAACCACCCAGCGCUGUUGCUCCUGACCAUUGGAAAUGCUGGAGGGGCUGGAGCACCUGGACAGUCCGGUCUCAUUCUAAUGGCUGGACUGGAGUGGGGUUGCCUCGAACCUGUCUUAGGCUGCAAAUGCCCCCAGCGGCAGAGCCAGGGGGACCCUCACCGGGGCCUGCCCUGGGAGCCCCGGGGGACACUUCUCGGGUCAGCUCUGAUCUCAAGGUGGGACCGCCCCGUGCCUUUGGCCCGGGAGUGGGGGCUGCAGGAGGAACCCCUCAUGUGGUGGCCCUCCCAUCUGAGGGGCGCCCCUGGGGGCCUCAAAUUCAGCAUCGGGCUCCAGUGAAGACUCAGCUCCUCUGGGGGGGACCCCUGCCCGCCCCACCCUCCUGCCCUGCGGCGCUGCCCAGGCCUGGGUCUGCGGAGACGUCUGUUUGCCUCUGGCCUGAUGAAAGCGGUGUGGAAACCAAGCUCCCUCCGCCUCCCCACAUCGCUGCUCUCUUUGAGGGGUUUUCGUGCUGACUUACCGUUUUCUCUAAUUAGGAAACAAUACGUGGCUAUUAUGAAACGUUUAGAAAAUGUAUAAUAAAUAAAAAAAUAAUGUUACCGUUCUGAUUUA